This 155-nucleotide ribosomal RNA is filed under the name uncultured bacterium. Its description in RNAcentral is "partial 16S ribosomal RNA". The record is from RNAcentral.
CACGGAGUUAGCCGAUCCUUAUUCUUACGGUACCGUCAAGCUCCCUCACGAGGGAGUGUUUCUUCCCGUACAAAAGCAGUUUACAAUCCAUAGGACCGUCAUCCUGCACGCGGCGGGGCUGGUUCAGGCUUGCGCCCAUUGACCAAUAUUCCUCA